This 468-nucleotide ribosomal RNA is filed under the name uncultured bacterium. Its description in RNAcentral is "partial 16S ribosomal RNA". It matches the Rfam family "Bacterial small subunit ribosomal RNA", at positions 28 to 507 of the family's 1533-position model. The record is from RNAcentral.
GACGAACGCUGGCGGCGUGCUUAACACAUGCAAGUCGAACGGAAAGGCCCUGCUUUUGUGGGGUGCUCGAGUGGCGAACGGGUGAGUAACACGUGAGUAACCUGCCCUUGACUUUGGGAUAACUUCAGGAAACUGGGGCUAAUACCGGAUAGGAGCUCCUGCUGCAUGGUGGGGGUUGGAAAGUUUCGGCGGUUGGGGAUGGACUCGCGGCUUAUCAGCUUGUUGGUGGGGUAGUGGCUUACCAAGGCUUUGACGGGUAGCCGGCCUGAGAGGGUGACCGGCCACAUUGGGACUGAGAUACGGCCCAGACUCCUACGGGAGGCAGCAGUGGGGAAUAAUGCCAAAUGGGCGGAAGCCUGAUGCAGCAACGCCGCGUGCGGGAUGACGGCCUUCGGGUUGUAAACCGCUUUCGCCUGUGACGAAGCGUGAGUGACGGUAAUAGGUAAAGAAGCACCGGCUAACUACGUG